UAGUAUCAGAGUGGUAAUUGAAAUGUUUGAACUACAGAGAUUUUUGGUGGUUAAUUAAUCAUCGAGUUUCUAGUACUAAAAUAAAUGGGCAGCUCACUAAGGAUUUAAAUAUUUAUGUAAUUGAACAAACUUGGUUGGAAAAACAGAGGCCUGAUUAGAGACACUGCUAAGAGAAUCAGCCUUCACUCUUCCUAGUCCUGGGAAGUAUCUUUGAGAGAAGAUCUUCUGACGACAUCAAAAGUAUUUGUAAAUCUUUCUCUCAACCUUUCCCCAAAGAAGCACACUAUUUACUAGAAUAAAACUAUGCUGGGGAGUGGGGGGUGUGAAGACAUCUUGAACUUUAAGGGAUUAUCGGACUAUGGUGUUAAUCCCUGUUGACCCAGAAUACCCUGCAGACAAGAUUUACUGGUUUUACUGUAUACCGCCAUCAUCCAGUAGCAGCUGGCUUUUACAAUUCUUGAAUGAUCUUUUGAAAACUCCAGUGCCAGUAGGGAGAGAACACUUUGCAAAGUUAAGAGUGUUAUCCCAUAGUAGAGAUUA
Molecule: long non-coding RNA, 540 nt
Organism: Phyllostomus discolor (pale spear-nosed bat)
Lineage: Eukaryota; Metazoa; Chordata; Mammalia; Chiroptera; Phyllostomidae
Exons: 2
Source: RefSeq, a predicted model, not a curated record